GAUGAACGCUGGCGGCGUGCCUAAUACAUGCAAGUCGAGCGAACAGACGAGGAGCUUGCUCCUCUGACGUUAGCGGCGGACGGGUGAGUAACACGUGGAUAACCUACCUAUAAGACUGGGAUAACUUCGGGAAACCGGAGCUAAUACCGGAUAAUAUAUUGAACCGCAUGGUUCAAUAGUGAAAGACGGUUUUGCUGUCACUCAUAGAUGGAUCCGCGCCGCAUUAGCUAGUUGGUAAGGUAACGGCUUACCAAGGCAACGAUGCGUAGCCGACCUGAGAGGGUGAUCGGCCACACUGGAACUGAGACACGGUCCAGACUCCUACGGGAGGCAGCAGUAGGGAAUCUUGCGCAAGGGGCGAAAGCCUGACGGAGCAACGCCGCGUGAGUGAUGAAGGUCUUCGAAUCGUAAAACUCUGUUAUUAGGGAAGAACAAAUGUGUAAGUAACUAUGCACGUCUUGACGGUACCUAAUCAGAAAGCCACGGCUAACUACGUG
This 497-nucleotide ribosomal RNA is filed under the name uncultured bacterium. RNAcentral describes it as "partial 16S ribosomal RNA". It matches the Rfam family "Bacterial small subunit ribosomal RNA", at positions 28 to 507 of the family's 1533-position model. The record is from RNAcentral.